This is an RNA transcript of Scatophagus argus, 3110 nucleotides long. It is a transcript of the gene named B-cell receptor CD22-like, with no coding region annotated. NCBI's taxonomy places the organism in Eukaryota, Metazoa, Chordata, Actinopteri, Scatophagidae. The transcript has 9 exons. The record is from RefSeq and is a predicted model, not a curated record.
AUCGGAGCUACAAGCUGAACUCCGGACUGUUUGUAGUGAAAGCUGGUUUCUCAUUUGCACUUUUUUGCUCAUAGAAAACAAAGUUUAGUCACAUAAAAAGCUGAGAAAUGUUGGUGUCGGAGUCUUCCUGAACGCAACACGUACCAGAGGAAACACCAAAGUCCAAGGAAGUCUCAGGAGAAGAGAUUUGUGUCCUGGUUGGUCACCAGAGACUCCAUAAAGUCCCGGCCCAGAACGAGUCCAGCACCACCCAAAUGUUUCCCAUACGACCAAACAAACUGGGCUCCACGUCGACUGGGAUGAACGAUAACACAGUUCAUCAGGUCCGUGUGCUUUUCUGCGAUGAGUCGGACAAGAUGAAUUUCUUUUCAUCAUGUGCAACACUCCAUCACACAGCCGCCUGCUGAGGUGAAAGAACACGAGGCCACUUCUGAUCAGACAAACAGGAAGUGAGCCCGUCUCGGUGUUCACACAAACAGGUGACGGCAAAAAGCGAGCGGACAACACGUGAAGGCGACGCACACUAACACAUACGUGUUAAUGGAUGAAUACUGGAACCACGUCAGACAUGGAACAAGUUUUCUGCUGUGCUGUGUGCCGCCAUCACAUCCCACCGCCCCCGAGUCUGUGUGAGGCGGGAUGUGGUUUAUAUUAACAGGAUGUUGUUGCCACAUUUGCUAUCAGACGGUCAACCUGCAGACACCAUGAGGACAACGCUGCUUUUCCUCCUCCUGACCUGCCGGCUGUCUUCACAAAGUCCUGGUUCUGAGCCGUGUGUGUGUACAUGUAAGUGUUGUGUUCGCCGUUCAGUACUUUUCAUUGCUGCUUCAGUUUGCUGUGGAUGUUGAUGUUCUGCACGAACUCUGAGGAACCAAAACAAAAAAAAACGAAACGAAAGACUUUGGAUGUGCGAUUACCACAUUUCGCCUUCCUCAGUGAGCAGAGUCUGUCCUGCCCACAAACAUACGGCAUCAGGCGCCACUAAGGCGCCUGCUCAGGAUGAGCUGACGGCGCCCUCUAGAGGUCGCAGCAGGACGGGAGGUGGAUGGGAGUGUGAUCGCCAUCGUCACUAAUGUGGCUUUUAUUGUACCAUAACAAUGAAACUCUGUUAUCUCUGAUGAGGCCGGGGUGUUUCCCCAAACCUAACCAAUCCUUAACCAGAGUGUUGGCACGCCACAGAUUGGUUGACCAAUCACAGACUGAUGAUGUCAUCCUGCUGGCUGGCAGAACAGCUGUGAAGACAUAAGAACCACACCUGUGUGACUGGGCAAUGGCAGAAGGACUCACACAUUCCUGAUGAUGAAUUAAACGCACAACACGACUCAAAUCAUGAAAACAUUUGUGUACAUUAGAACAUUCGAGCUAAGAUCUUAGCAUUUCAUUGGCUGAUGGUUAGAAGAUUCGAAUGUGAUUUCUGUCAGAGAAACACAUCAGAGAGGAACAGCAGGCCAACCAAACCGGGUCUCUCCAAACCUGAUGUUGUCCAAGUUAUCCAAGAGUGCAGUCCAGAGACCAGCCGGUCCAGCAGUGAGGCAGGAGAGUUUUCUGAUUCUGUCUGUCUGUCUGUCUGUCUGCCAGCCUCUCUGAAGGUCUCCCCCAGCAGGUCUCAGUAUUUCGAGUACGAAAACGUCUCUCUGAGCUGCGAGCACUUCGACUGCGGCGAAUGGAAGGUGUGGAGAUACACGACACCGAGUGUUUCCAGUACAGAACCCAGUUUGUCCCGGUGUGGGGACGGCUGGGGCAGCGAGACAUCCUCCACCUGCGAAAUGAAGACGAUCAAGCGGACGGACAACGGAGUGUACUGGUGUCAGUCCCAGUCCAGAGACAGCAGCCAUGCGGUCAACAUCACCGUCACAGGUGGUCCGGUGAUCCUGCACAGUCCUGCCCUCCCUGUGACGGAGGGACAUGACGUCACCCUGCGCUGCCAAGCAAGGAGCCACCCCUCCAGCCUCACCUUUUUUAAAGAUGGCACCCGAAUCAGGACCGAGCCGACGGGUCACAUGACCGUCCACAACUUUUCCAAGUCUGAUGAAGGUGCUUACAAGUGCCAGGCUGGAGGAAAAGAAGAGUCUCCAUCCAGCUGGCUGCUGAUGAAAGAUGAUUCCAAACCGGCUCUGCUCACAGCGUCGCCCAACUCCAUCCAGCUGUUUGAGUACGACAACGUGACUCUGAGCUGCGGCCACACCAGCAUCUCGCAGGGAUGGAAGGUGAUCAGGGCCACGAGGAACUCUGAUGGCAAGCUGAGCUUACAAAGCUGUGGCACGAAAUGGGGCACCCCGACCCCCGUUGGCUGCAUCCUCAAAAUAGCCAAGUAUCCUGACAGUGGAGUCCACUGGUGCGAGACGUCUGCAAGGCAGCGGAGCAACCCGAUCAACAUCAACGUCGCUGACGGACCGGUGAUCCUGCGGAGUCCUGUCCUCCCUGUGACGGAGGGAGACGAUGUGACUCUGGAGUGUCUGGCAAAGAAAUGUCCCACCAGUGUCCCCGCUGAUUUCUACAAAGACGGCUCCCUCAACAGGACUGAGCUGACGCGUCGCAUGACCAUCCGCCGCGUGUCCAGGUCUGAUGCAGGCCUCUACAGGUGCAGCAUCAGCACCUGUGGAGAGUCGAAGCCCAGCUGGCUGCUGGUCAGAGAUGGCUGUAGGAAGCCUCCACUCCCCACAGCUUCAGGCCUGCAUAUGCUGAGAGUGAUACGCUACGUGGUGGUGGCGUCCCCGUACUGCGUCUCCACUGUCCUCAUGCUGUCUCUAUGCUGCCGCAGGCCGACAGGAAGUACAGCUGAGGCUGAUGGGAAAGUCACAGAGCUCAGCAACGCCCCCCAGUGGAUUAAACACACAAGUGGCACAAUCAGGAAGAAAAGUCAGUCAUUAGUCAGUUAGUUUUUGAUCACGAGUCAGUGAUUACACUUCAUCCUGAGGGGAACAUGAACGAUUGAACUAAAGAGGAGGGAAGCCGCCUGUUUCCAUGACGAUGCGUCCAGCCAAAGAGGAUGACGAGCGAAUGGGCCAAAUGCAUGAUGAUGUCACUGAUGAUGUCACCACCGAGCAUCAUUUCUAAGCUGAAGUCUUUCCUUCAGGCUGUCUUUAAUAAAACGACUGAUUUGUCUUUGA